Magnolia sinica is the source of this 2739-nucleotide long non-coding RNA. RefSeq lists it as uncharacterized. Lineage: Eukaryota; Viridiplantae; Streptophyta; Magnoliopsida; Magnoliales; Magnoliaceae. The record is from RefSeq and is a predicted model, not a curated record. The transcript is spliced from 11 exons.
UUAUUUAUUGUCUUUUGAAAGACAGCUUUUUCUCUUGUUAUUUGAUUGGAUAGUUCCAUCUUUUUUUAAAGCAUAAACUGUCAGAUUGAUUUUCUUUUAUCCUUACUAUAGGUAUGAUGGCCAACAAGCUCAGAUUCAUAAUUUAAUGGAUGGGUUUAUGCAAGUCUUUUCAUGAAAUGGCGAAGAAAUAACAUUUAGAUUUCCAAAUUUGGUGAAUAUAGUCAAGGAAUCAUGUAAGCCUGCUGCCAUGACUUUCAUACUGGAUGCAGAGUUGCAGUAGAUAGAAAGAAUGGAAGCAAGCUGAGGGCCUUCCAACAACUAUCCUCAUGAGAGAGAGGGAGUAAAAAUUCCUUGAUUACAAUGGAUAACAUAAAGAUUUGUAAGACUUAUUCUAUGAGGAAAAGUUGGGUUAUUUUGAAUUUGUGAAGGAAAUAACUGUGGAAGCUGAUGAAGCACGUUUGAAAAGGGCUAGAAUGCUAAGCACAUUUUCUGCAUUUCUUAAUUGGUGGGACUCAUCCACUGUACACAUGGUCUUCCCCACAUGCCAAUCCAAACACCCAAAAUAGUUAGCCCAUCAUGGGCAGACGGAUCCACUGUUGAAUUUCACCUUCUGAUAAUUUUCUUUUAAUGUUCUACUUGACCUCUGAUUAGAUGGCUAGGAUUUUCCAAUCAGUAUGAUGUUCGGGAUAACCUCCAUCAACAAUGGGGCCCAUAAUUUUGUGCUCUUGCAUCCCCCAUGUGGGCUGGAUGAAUCACCAUGGAAUGAACCUGGAAUUUUAACUGCUAGAAAGGAUUUAGACUACAUUGGAUGAGAAGAACUGUUGGAAGCCUUGAAGAGGCAAAAGGGUACGUUUGAAACCAGUCAAGAAGAUAGUACUGAAAUUCCGGAGGAGUUAAAGCUGAGGUUGGCAUACAGGGAAGCAGUUGUGGCUGUUCUUGCAUGCUACAAUCCAAAUCCUCACCGUCCUUUCACUGAGACUAAUAUUCGUUCCAUUCGCAGCAAGCCAAAUAUGCGUUAUGUUGAGACUCCUGGAAGAGUUUUUCAGCGGUAGUGGGUCCAAAUGGAAGUGGUAAAAGCAAUGUCAUAGAUGCAAUGCUCUUUGUAUUUGGGAAACGAGCUAAGCAGGAGGCUGGAUGAAACAAAUGUUUAUCAAAGCAGCUCAAUUAGUUUUCUUCAAAAAUGGUGAAGGGAAAGUGAUAUGUAUCCCUGUCGUGGUGGCGGUAUGUUCACUCAUUGGCCGUAUCUUUUGUGUUACAUCUCUCAACUUAAUAUAAGGUGUCUCAAAUUGAUUGUGAAAUUCACAUGCUAAAUCAAAUGAUCAAGUUUAAAAAUUGAUUUGGCUAGAUUGUUUGGUUUAUGCUCAAGUGCUCAACUGUAGCUGAAUAUUCUGUAUUGAGAUAUCGUUGAUAUGUGUCGCAUGUAUCGAUGAUAUUCAGGAAUAUUUGUAAAUGGGCAGUGCAAUAUUUUGAGAUAUAUCAAUGUAUGGCUACAACAUUGAGUAUGUCUAAUAUCCCCUUUAUAAAAAAAAAAAAAAAGAAAAGAAAAAAGAAGCAAUUGUCUGCAUUGGAAAAUGCUUUUUUUAUCUUCAUUGAUAUAUAGAGGACGUGGUAAUAUAUAAUUCACAGUAUGCGCGUAUAGACGGCUAACUUACCUGGUCCAAGAUGCAUGGGUCGAUACACUUGAAGAUUUUUAAUCAUGUUGAUAUUCUCGUGAGCAUUGUUUGGAUAACAGGGAAAAGGUUUGAUGACAAUUUUCAUUGAUCCAAUCUAAGAAUACUCGAAUAUUAGAAGCUGUUUUAUAUUGAGAAAAGCUAGCAAAACUUGUAUUUUUCUUUGAUUUUAUAUCCAAGUUUCUAAUUCAUCUUUUUUCUUCUUUUGUAUUUGUAUGGUACAGUUCACUAUUCUUUUGUUGGCAAGACAUCUUGUUUCUAUACUUGUUGGUGGAACAGACCAUUAUGCAUUCACACUUUUCACUGAUUUACUUCUUUUUUUUCUGUUGUUGUUGUUGAUUUUGUCUAUUUUCUGAAUAGUUGUUGAAUAGCCUUGCAAUUCUUUUUGUUUUGCCUUACGAAAUAAUGCCGCCGGUUCUCUUUGGGAGUUUGUUAGUUAGUUUUCUUCUAUCGUACUUCCAAGAGUGACCCAUUACUGGUAGAUUUUUCUCUAAGUUUUCUUCACAUUGAGCCCACCGAUGCACAUGUCAAACUUCCCAUGCAAGUGGUAGGCCAGUAGUGUGGCCUUGUAUGAGGUGCAUGUGGGCUUAACAAGUUGCUUUAUUAGUUACUUCUUUUUUCUUUUCUUUGGAAGUUGCCAGUUACAGGCACUUUCAUCUCUCUUCAUAUUUUCAGUUUUACCACUCUUGAUUCCCUUUCCAUUUUCAAAUUUUCAUCACUUGACUAAUGCUAUGGUAUUUGAUUUUUAUAAUAAAUAAGGCAUGUAUGAAUCAUUUGCAGGCGUUUUUGAACUUAUUGUACUUCUAUGGAAUGUGUGGUGUAGUGAAUGAUUGCUUACUUCAAUGGUACUUUAGCAAUAGUCCUCUAGUGAUGGUUCGCCCUUGAAUAUAAUUACAGAAGACGCACAGGAGAAGUUAUCGGUAUAGUUGUCGGAUGUGCAGGUGGAUUAUUGAUACUCACAUCCAUUUUCUAUCUAUGGUAGAUGAAGGAUGCACCUAGCCAUAUGCGAGUGCACACAGACUCACCAAGAUUUGUAUUUUCAAUAUUAUUGUAAUUGUAAUUGAAUUGA